RNAcentral lists this ribosomal RNA (449 nucleotides) under uncultured bacterium. Its description in RNAcentral is "bacterial SSU rRNA". It matches the Rfam family "Bacterial small subunit ribosomal RNA", at positions 329 to 795 of the family's 1533-position model. The record is from RNAcentral.
UGCCAGACUCCUACGGGAGGCAGCAGUGGGGAAUAUUGCACAAUGGGGGAAACCCUGAUGCAGCGACGCCGCGUGAGUGAAGAAGUAAUUCGUUAUGUAAAGCUCUAUCAGCAGGGAAGAAAAUGACGGUACCUGACUAAGAAGCCCCGGCUAACUACGUGCCAGCAGCCGCGGUAAUACGUAGGGGGCAAGCGCUAUCCGGAUUUACUGGGUGUAAAGGGAGCGUAGACGGCAUGGCAAGUCAGAUGUGAAAGCCCGGGGCUCAACCCCGGGACUGCAUUUGAAACUGUCAGGCUGGAGUGCAGGAGAGGUAAGUGGAAUUCCUAGUGUAGCGGUGAAAUGCGUAGAUAUUAGGAGGAACACCAGUGGCGAAGGCGGCUUACUGGACUGUAACUGACGUUGAGGCUCGAAAGCGUGGGGGGCAAACAGGAUUAGAUACCCCCGUAUCU